This is a long non-coding RNA of Glycine soja, 745 nucleotides long. RefSeq lists it as uncharacterized. The record is from RefSeq and is a predicted model, not a curated record. NCBI's taxonomy places the organism in Eukaryota, Viridiplantae, Streptophyta, Magnoliopsida, Fabales, Fabaceae. The transcript has 2 exons.
UGUACACCUAAUUGACACUUCAUUUUUUUUUAUGACAGGCAGAAAGUCCAAAAACCCUACAGGGGAACAGAGCGCAAGAACGAAACACCCCUAGCCUCUUUGGCUAUAAUCCUCCGAAGCAAGGGAAGACCAGACUGAAGCCAAGUCAAAACAAAAGUUCCUUGAUGACCAAGGUGUUGAUGAAUCAUUUAUGAAUAUAGAGUGGGGAAUUGUGGUGGAGUGAGAGUACCUUGGAGGUGCCGCGAGAAUGAGUCCAAGAGCCCCAAGCAGAAGGGUAAGAUUCAGCGAUGGUGUAAGGGAGAUCCUUGACGCCGGUGCCAGAUCCGCCAACGACCUCUUUCAGGAAUUUGAACAUGCUGAAUCGGAAUCGUAAUCGGAGAGUGAGUGCGGUGGUGGUGGUGGCGGUGGUGGUGGAGGUGGAGAGGAGAGGGCGUUAACUACCGACGCUGGAUGAAUCUGAUCCGGUGUUUCGCGGUCUAGUGGUGGUGCACAGGCGACACACACACACCUCUUUUGUAUUGUCAACCAGACUUCAAAAUAAAAUGGCACGUGAUAACAAGUGUCCUAAGAGAUGUUUAAUUCUUUUAAAAAAAAUAGGACUUAGCAUUAAUAUUUUUGUAAUCUUUGUGUACUUAUGGUUGUAUGAACAAAGUUGAUUUUUUAUGCUUAAAAUUGUAUUUGACAACAUGUUAUAAUGGAUUAUGAGGUGUUGUAAUAUGUUAAAUUAUUUUUGGUUAUGUUUUAA